RNAcentral lists this ribosomal RNA (396 nucleotides) under uncultured bacterium. RNAcentral describes it as "partial 16S ribosomal RNA". It matches the Rfam family "Bacterial small subunit ribosomal RNA", at positions 523 to 918 of the family's 1533-position model. The record is from RNAcentral.
AUACGUAGGUGGCGAGCGUUGUCCGGAUUUACUGGGUGUAAAGGGCGCGUAGGCGGGAUAGCAAGUCAGGUGUGAAAUCUAUGGGCUCAACCCAUAAACUGCACUUGAAACUGUUGUUCUUGAGUGUCGGAGAGGUAGAUGGAAUUCCUAGUGUAGCGGUGAAAUGCGUAGAUAUUAGGAGGAACAUCGGUGGCGAAGGCGGCUUACUGGGCCUUUACUGACGCUGAGGCACGAAAGCGUGGGGAGCAAACAGGAUUAGAUACCCUGGUAGUCCACGCUGUAAACGAUGAUGACUAGGUGUGGGGGGACUGAACCCUUCCGUGCCGCAGUUAACACAAUAAGUCAUCCACCUGGGGAUUACGGCCGCAAGGUUGAAACUCAAAGGAAUUGACGGGG